GACGAACGCUGGCGGCGUGCUUAACACAUGCAAGUCGAACGAAGAGCGACGGAAGCUUGCUUCUAUCAAUCUUAGUGGCGAACGGGUGAGUAACGCGUAAUCAACCUGCCCUUCAGAGGGGGACAACAGUUGGAAACGACUGCUAAUACCGCAUACGAUCUAACCUCGGCAUCGAGGAUAGAUGAAAGGUGGCCUCUACAUGUAAGCUAUCACUGAAGGAGGGGACUGCGUCUGAUUAGCUAGUUGGAGGGGUAACGGCCCACCAAGGCGAUGAUCAGUAGCCGGUCUGAGGGGAUGAACGGCCACAUUGGGACUGAGACACGGCCCAGACUCCUACGGGAGGCAGCAGUGGGGAAUCUUCCGCAAUGGACGAAAGUCUGACGGAGCAACGCCGCGUGAGUGAUGACGGCCUUCGGGUUGCAAAGCUCUGUUAAUCGGGACGAAAGGCCUUCUUGCGAAUAGUGAGAAGGAUUGACGGUACCGGAAUAGAAAGCCACGGCUAACUACGUG
This 510-nucleotide ribosomal RNA is filed under the name uncultured bacterium. RNAcentral's name for it is "partial 16S ribosomal RNA". It matches the Rfam family "Bacterial small subunit ribosomal RNA", at positions 28 to 507 of the family's 1533-position model. The record is from RNAcentral.